RNAcentral lists this transfer-messenger RNA (404 nucleotides) under Prevotella sp. It matches the Rfam family "transfer-messenger RNA". Rfam says of the family: Bacterial tmRNA, also known as 10Sa RNA or SsrA, is named for its dual tRNA and mRNA-like properties. Its role is to liberate the mRNA from a stalled ribosome. The record is from RNAcentral. Lineage: Bacteria; Pseudomonadati; Bacteroidota; Bacteroidia; Bacteroidales; Prevotellaceae.
GGGGUUAUUACGGAUUCGACAGCGGGUCGAAAUGGUACGUAAGCAUGCGGAGAGUGGCAGACUGGCUCCUUAAUCCCAGUAGGCGAUAAAUUUAAUUGGCGAAACUAAUUACGCUCUCGCUGCCUAACCGAAGUACAGUAGGUUACUGGCUUAUCCUGUCAUAAGAUGAUGGGACGAGACAUCACUCAAAAGGCUGUUGUUCCGAAGCAUUUUGGUCAAGUGGUGCAUCGUAAAUCGGAAAUAGUCAACGUUUGCUCCGAAAUGUUGAUGAAGAUUUUAGGAGAUAAGGUUGCAGUUGGUGGUCCAGGUCUUGCAGCAGCACGAAAAUCAAAACUGGAAUAAGCAUGUAGAAAGCGUAUGGUUUCCCUGUUUGGACGAGGGUUCGACUCCCUCUAACUCCACAA